GACGAACGCUGGCGGCGUGCCUAAUACAUGCAAGUAGAACGCUGAAGAGAGGAGCUUGCUCUUCUUGGAUGAGUUGCGAACGGGUGAGUAACGCGUAGGUAACCUGCCUUGUAGCGGGGGAUAACUAUUGGAAACGAUAGCUAAUACCGCAUAACAAUGGAUGACACAUGUCAUUUAUUUGAAAGGGGCAAUUGCUCCACUACAAGAUGGACCUGCGUUGUAUUAGCUAGUAGGUGAGGUAAUGGCUCACCUAGGCGACGAUACAUAGCCGACCUGAGAGGGUGAGCGGCCCCACUGGGACGGGGACACGGCCCAGACUCCUACAGGAGGCAGCAGUAGGGAAACUUCGGCAAUGGGGGCAAACCUGACCGAGCAACGCCGCGUGAGGGGAGAAGGUUUUCGGAUCGGAAAGCUCGGUUGUAAGUCAAGAACGGGUGUGAGAGUGGAAAGUUCACACUGUGACGGUAGCUUACCAGAAAGGGACGGCUAACUACGUG
Molecule: ribosomal RNA, 497 nt
Filed under: uncultured bacterium
Lineage: Bacteria
Description: partial 16S ribosomal RNA
Rfam family: Bacterial small subunit ribosomal RNA
Source: RNAcentral